CAAAUUCAAGCCAUUUGAGAAAAAGUUGGAGACACUCUUUAUGGACCCUAGAAUGCCUCUGGGCUCCACCCCUGUUCCAUUCUCCUCUCCACCCAUUCAUCCAGGUGCUGUGCGUCCUGGAAAGCUUCAGCGUGGCCUGCAGUCAAGCACAGGGAAGUCCCCUCGUGUUCUCCUGGUCUGCUGGGGAGCACCAGAGCCAUUCUUUGAAGGCAGGAGCAGAGAACUGCGCUUGAUUUUGGGGGGUCACAUGUGUUCCAGUUUGUGGCAAAUGGUGUUCCACGCUGUGUUUCCAGCAAGCUGUGGCAGGAAUCAGCCUUCUAGACCAUAGGGACAUAAGGACGAAAGAAGAAGGGAAAGGUCAUUUCUCCAGGGGAAAAGCAAUAAUUUCAUGCAAAUGUGAAGAAAAACAGUAUGUUGAUGGUUGUUGUUGUUUUCUGUAGUGCAAAAUAAAAAGAGAAAAGAAAAAAACA
RNAcentral lists this long non-coding RNA (470 nucleotides) under Ursus maritimus (polar bear). RNAcentral describes it as "lncRNA (ENSUMAG00000020137.1)". Lineage: Eukaryota; Metazoa; Chordata; Mammalia; Carnivora; Ursidae. The record is from RNAcentral.